RNAcentral lists this ribosomal RNA (752 nucleotides) under uncultured Lachnospiraceae bacterium. RNAcentral's name for it is "bacterial SSU rRNA". It matches the Rfam family "Bacterial small subunit ribosomal RNA", at positions 28 to 776 of the family's 1533-position model. The record is from RNAcentral. Lineage: Bacteria; Bacillati; Bacillota; Clostridia; Lachnospirales; Lachnospiraceae.
GAUGAACGCUGGCGGCGUGCUUAACACAUGCAAGUCGAACGAAGCUGCUUAAAGGAAGUCUUUGGAUGGAAUUUAGGUAGACUUAGUGGCGGACGGGUGAGUAACGCGUGGAUAACCUGCCUUAUACAGGGGGAUAACGGAGAGAAAUUUCCGCUAAGACCGCAUAAGACCACAGCACCGCAUGGUGCAGGGGGUAAAAUAUUUAUAGGUAUAAGAUGGAUCCGCGUCCGAUUAGCUAGUUGGUGAGGUAAAGGCCCACCAAGGCGACGAUCGGUAGCCGGCCUGAGAGGGUGAACGGCCACAUUGGGACUGAGACACGGCCCAAACUCCUACGGGAGGCAGCAGUGGGGAAUAUUGGACAAUGGGGGGAAACCCUGAUCCAGCGACGCCGCGUGAGUGAAGAAGUAUUUCGGUAUGUAAAGCUCUAUCAGCAGGGAAGAAAAUGACGGUACCUGACUAAGAAGCCCCGGCUAACUACGUGCCAGCAGCCGCGGGUAAUACGUAGGGGGCAAGCGUUAUCCGGAUUUACUGGGUGUAAAGGGAGCGCAGACGGGCAAUGCAAGUCUGAAGUGAAAGGCGUGGGGCUCAACCCAUGAACUGCUUUGGAAACUGUAUAGCUUGAGUGUCGGAGGGGUAAGCGGAAUUCCUAGUGUAGCGGUGAAAUGCGUAGAUAUUAGGAGGAACACCGGAGGCGAAGGCGGCUUACUGGGACGACAACUGACGUUGAGGCUCGAAGGCUGGGAGCAAACAGG